AUCAUCUGAGGAUCUUGUUAAAAUGCAGAUUGUGAUUCAGUAAUGCUGGGGUUAAGAGCUGAAAUCCUGCAUUUUUAACAGGCUCUCAAGUGAUGCUGC
This 99-nucleotide microRNA precursor is filed under the name Sus scrofa (pig). Its description in RNAcentral is "mir-544 microRNA precursor family". It matches the Rfam family "mir-544 microRNA precursor family". The record is from Rfam by way of RNAcentral. Lineage: Eukaryota; Metazoa; Chordata; Mammalia; Artiodactyla; Suidae.